CAUAACAAAUCUGUGGACAAAUGUAAUGAACAUGUGAAUCAAUUGCACCUGCUGUAAAUAUCUUGCCUUCGCCUGCUAAAGCUUCUGUACAUGCGCCAACAAUCAUACCUGGCGUCACACCAUCCAUCACAUCAGGAUUUCCUGCUUUUCCGAUACCAACAAUGAUUCCUUUCUUAAUACCAAUAUCUGCUUUAUAGAUGCCUGUAUAAUCAAUAAUCAAAGCAUUUGUAAUAACAAGGUCCAAAACUUCAUGAUCCAACUUUCCAGUAGCUUGUCCCAUACCUUCACG
RNAcentral lists this small RNA (289 nucleotides) under Rhizopus delemar RA 99-880. Its description in RNAcentral is "Rhizopus oryzae RA 99-880 5' ureB small RNA". It matches the Rfam family "5' ureB small RNA". Lineage: Eukaryota; Fungi; Mucoromycota; Mucoromycetes; Mucorales; Rhizopodaceae. The record is from Rfam by way of RNAcentral. RNAcentral also lists the same sequence under 1 other name.